GAUGAACGCUGGCGGCGUGCCUAAUACAUGCAAGUCGAGCGAACAGACGAGGAGCUUGCUCCUCUGACGUUAGCGGCGGACGGGUGAGUAACACGUGGAUAACCUACCUAUAAGACUGGGAUAACUUCGGGAAACCGGAGCUAAUACCGGAUAACAUGUUGAACCGCAUGGUUCAACAGUGAAAGACGGUCUUGCUGUCACUUAUAGAUGGAUCCGCGCCGCAUUAGCUAGUUGGUAAGGUAACGGCUUACCAAGGCAACGAUGCGUAGCCGACCUGAGAGGGUGAUCGGCCACACUGGAACUGAGACACGGUCCAGACUCCUACGGGAGGCAGCAGUAGGGAAUCUUCCGCAAUGGGCGAAAGCCUGACGGAGCAACGCCGCGUGAGUGAUGAAGGUCUUCGGAUCGUAAAACUCUGUUAUUAGGGAAGAACAAAUGUGUAAGUAACUAUGCACGUCCUGACGGUACCUAAUCAGAAAGCCACGGCUAACUACGUG
Molecule: ribosomal RNA, 497 nt
Filed under: uncultured bacterium
Lineage: Bacteria
Description: partial 16S ribosomal RNA
Rfam family: Bacterial small subunit ribosomal RNA
Source: RNAcentral